AAAGCGUGCGCAGGCGGUUAUGUAAGACAGAUGUGAAAUCCCUGGGCUCAACCUGGGAACUGCAUUUGUGACUGCAUGGCUAGAGUACGGUAGAGGGGGAUGGAAUUCCGCGUGUAGCAGUGAAAUGCGUAGAUAUGCGGAGGAACACCGAUGGCGAAGGCAAUCCCCUGGACCUGUACUGACGCUCAUGCACGAAAGCGUGGGGAGCAAACAGGAUUAGAUACCCUAGU
Molecule: ribosomal RNA, 230 nt
Filed under: uncultured bacterium
Lineage: Bacteria
Description: partial 16S ribosomal RNA
Rfam family: Bacterial small subunit ribosomal RNA
Source: RNAcentral